This 23-nucleotide microRNA is filed under the name Gadus morhua (Atlantic cod). RNAcentral's name for it is "gmo-miR-29a-2-5p". Its record names the gene gmo-miR-29a-2-5p. The record is from miRBase by way of RNAcentral. Lineage: Eukaryota; Metazoa; Chordata; Actinopteri; Gadiformes; Gadidae.
ACUGGUUUCCUCUGGUGCAUAGA